This 440-nucleotide ribosomal RNA is filed under the name uncultured bacterium. RNAcentral's name for it is "partial 16S ribosomal RNA". It matches the Rfam family "Bacterial small subunit ribosomal RNA", at positions 338 to 795 of the family's 1533-position model. The record is from RNAcentral.
CCUACGGGAGGCAGCAGUGGGGGAUAUUGCACAAUGGGGGAAACCCUGAUGCAGCGACGCCGCGUGUGGGAAGACGGUCCUCCGGAUUGUAAACCACUGUCCCCAGGGACGAAGAUGACGGUACCUGGGGAGGAAGCUCCGGCUAACUACGUGCCAGCAGCCGCGGUAAUACGUAGGGAGCGAGCGUUGUCCGGAAUUACUGGGUGUAAAGGGAGCGUAGGCGGGACUGCAAGUUGGGUGUCAAAUCUACCGGCUCAACCGGUAGCCGCACUCAAAACUGCAGUUCUUGAGUGAAGUAGAGGCAGGCGGAAUUCCUAGUGUAGCGGUGAAAUGCGUAGAUAUUAGGAGGAACACCAGUGGCGAAGGCGGCCUGCUGGGCUUUUACUGACGCUGAGGCUCGAAAGUGUGGGGAGCAAACAGGAUUAGAUACCCUUGUAGUC